AGUAGGUUACUUCAGAUUUUAUUUACUACUUUACAAAACAAAUUAUCGCGUUGGUCAUCAUUAGUAAUAGUUACUUUAGACGUGGAUUGAGCAAAAAAUGUCCAAAUUAAGUAUGCAAAUUUAGAGCAAAAAAACAGAUUAUAUAAUUUGUGUUCGUCGCGUUAUAAAUACGGAUGCGACUCGCGUUAUUUCAUCAUUAUCAAGUUUCAUCAGUGAGCUCAAAAUCGCCGGAAAACAAUUGGAAAACAUUUUUUAUUAAAAUAAUUUUCAAUACGUCUUCUCAAGACUUAAGUGGAUUCAAAAUGUUUGGCUUUCGACUCGUUAUUCUCUCCUGUGCAUUUUUCCUUCUUUUCGCAAACAUUUCGGGGAACCCUGUGUCCGAUGGUGGGAAGCCGGAAGUGGUCAAAUUCCACAAUAAUUUGCACAAGAGAGAUGUCACGUGCUCUGCAAGCGGGUGCAAGAAGGUUCCCAACAAGGUUAUAAAUAGGAGACUGCAGUACAUGAAUUUGCCCUAUUGGUAGUUAUGUAGGUACUCUUAAAACGAAAAACUUUGUUUCAAGGGAUCACUAGUUGUGGCAUUGUUUUUGAAAAUAAAUUAAAUUGUUUUUGAAAAUAA
Folsomia candida is the source of this 616-nucleotide long non-coding RNA. RefSeq lists it as uncharacterized. The record is from RefSeq and is a predicted model, not a curated record. Lineage: Eukaryota; Metazoa; Arthropoda; Collembola; Entomobryomorpha; Isotomidae. The transcript has 2 exons.